GGCCGUGUGCCCGAGUGGUUCAGGGACUCGCCUGCAAAGCGAGUUACGCGGGUUCGAUUCCCGCCACGGCCUCCA
RNAcentral lists this transfer RNA (75 nucleotides) under Streptomyces olivaceoviridis. RNAcentral's name for it is "tRNA-Cys". It matches the Rfam family "tRNA". Rfam says of the family: Transfer RNA (tRNA) molecules are approximately 80 nucleotides in length. Their secondary structure includes four short double-helical elements and three loops (D, anti-codon, and T loops). RNAcentral also lists the same sequence under 179 other names. Lineage: Bacteria; Bacillati; Actinomycetota; Actinomycetes; Kitasatosporales; Streptomycetaceae. The record is from RNAcentral.